This 1972-nucleotide ribosomal RNA is filed under the name Lamelloporus americanus. RNAcentral's name for it is "eukaryotic LSU rRNA". The stretch from base 505 to 1972 matches the Rfam family "Eukaryotic large subunit ribosomal RNA", at positions 1 to 1451 of the family's 3401-position model. Lineage: Eukaryota; Fungi; Basidiomycota; Agaricomycetes; Polyporales; Steccherinaceae. The record is from RNAcentral.
GUUGUUGCUGGCCUUUCGAGGCAUGUGCACACGGAUCAUCCCCUCCCCCACACACCUCUUGUGCACUUCUCAUGGGUUGAGCUGUAUGCUUUUCCUGUGUGUCUUUUUUUACACACGUUGGUUUAAAGAAUGUCGUUUUGGAGCAUAUUGAUGCAAUACAACUUUCAGCAACGGAUCUCUUGGCUCUCGCAUCGAUGAAGAACGCAGCGAAAUGCGAUAAGUAAUGUGAAUUGCAGAAUUCAGUGAAUCAUCGAAUCUUUGAACGCACCUUGCGCUCCUUGGUAUUCCAAGGAGCAUGCCUGUUUGAGUGUCAUCGGUAUUCUCAAAUCUCCCUGUUUGAGUACAGGUAGCUUUGGACUUGGAGGUUUAUUUUGCCAGUGUUUCUUCACUCUGGCUCCUCUGAAAUGUAUUAGCUUGAUUUCCAAGCAUGAUUCAGCGUGAUAAUCAUCUACGUUGUAUUUUUGUAUGGGUGGUUUUAAGCUUCGAACCUCAUCUUGAAACAUUUGACCUCAAAUCAGGUAGGACUACCCGCUGAACUUAAGCAUAUCAAUAAGCGGAGGAAAAGAAACUAACAAGGAUUCCCCUAGUAACUGCGAGUGAAGCGGGAAAAGCUCAAAUUUAAAAUCUGGCAGCUUCGUUGCCCGAGUUGUAGUCUGGAGAAGUGCUUUCUGUGCUAGACCAUGUACAAGUCUCUUGGAACAGAGCGUCGUAGAGGGUGAGAAUCCCGUCUUUGACAUGGACUGCUGGUGCUUUGUGAUGCGCUCUCAAAGAGUCGAGUUGUUUGGGAAUGCAGCUCAAAAUGGGUGGUAAAUUCCAUCUAAAGCUAAAUAUGGGCGAGAGACCGAUAGCGAACAAGUACCGUGAGGGAAAGAUGAAAAGCACUUUGGAAAGAGAGUUAAACAGUACGUGAAAUUGCUGAAAGGGAAACGCUUGAAGUCAGUCGCGUUCGUCAGAACUCAGCCUGGUCAUUUAUUUGCCAGGUGCAUUUUCUGAUGGGACGGGCCAGCAUCAAUUUCGACCGCUGGAUAAAGGCUUGGGAAAUGUGGCACUUUCGGGUGUGUUAUAGUCCCUUGUCAGAUGCGGUGGUUGGGAUUGAGGAUCUCAGCAUGCCUUUAUGGUCGGGGUUUCGCGCCCACGUUCAUGCUUAGGAUGCUGGCGUAAUGGCUUUAAACGACCCGUCUUGAAACACGGACCAAGGAGUCUAACAUGCCUGCAAGUGUUUGGGUGGAAAACCCGAGUGCGCAAUGAAAGUGAAAGUUGGGAUCCCUGUCGUGGGGAGCACCGACGCCCGGACCAGACCUUCUGUGACGGAUCCGCGGUAGAGCAUGCAUGUUGGGACCCGAAAGAUGGUGAACUAUGCCUGAAUAGGGUGAAGCCAGAGGAAACUCUGGUGGAGGCUCGUAGCGAUUCUGACGUGCAAAUCGAUCGUCAAAUUUGGGUAUAGGGGCGAAAGACUAAUCGAACCAUCUAGUAGCUGGUUCCUGCCGAAGUUUCCCUCAGGAUAGCAGAAACUCAUGUCAGAUUUAUGUGGUAAAGCGAAUGAUUAGAGGCCUUGGGGUUGAAACAACCUUAACCUAUUCUCAAACUUUAAAUAUGUAAGAACGAGCCGUCACUUGAUUGGACUGCCCGGCGAUUGAGAGUUUCUAGUGGGCCAUUUUUGGUAAGCAGAACUGGCGAUGCGGGAUGAACCGAACGCGAGGUUAAGGUGCCGGAAUGCACGCUCAUCAGACACCACAAAAGGUGUUAGUUCAUCUAGACAGCAGGACGGUGGCCAUGGAAGUCGGAACCCGCUAAGGAGUGUGUAACAACUCACCUGCCGAAUGAACUAGCCCUGAAAAUGGAUGGCGCUCAAGCGUGCUACCCAUACCUCGCCGUCAGUGUUGAAGUGACGCGCUGACGAGUAGGCAGGCGUGGAGGUUUGUGAAGAAGCCUAGGCAGUGAUGCUGGGUGAAACAGCCUCUAGUGCAGAUCU